Molecule: transfer RNA, 83 nt
Filed under: Hypostomus nigromaculatus
Lineage: Eukaryota; Metazoa; Chordata; Actinopteri; Siluriformes; Loricariidae
Description: partial transfer RNA-Pro
Source: RNAcentral
AAUCCUCCUAGUGCCAGAAAAGAGAGAUUCUAACUCCCACCCCUAACUCCCAAAGCUAGGAUUCUAAACUAAACUAUUUUCUG